This is a non-coding RNA of Salvia hispanica, 243 nucleotides long. NCBI's taxonomy places the organism in Eukaryota, Viridiplantae, Streptophyta, Magnoliopsida, Lamiales, Lamiaceae. The record is from RefSeq and is a predicted model, not a curated record.
CGUUUUAAACACAGCAUGUGGUGCUGUGAUUUUUAAAACUGCAAAGGAUCCACCCCCUUCUAAAACCCCCAAAUUCAGAAACUCUCAGCUCGCAGCCGUCUCAGCCGUGUCUCCUCCACGCCGCCGCCGUCUGUCUUCAAACUGUGAAAAAUGUUCAAAGUAUUCCGUUGGAAAUCGGUUUAUAGGCAACUCUCUGCAGUUACUGUUUCUCCCCAAUUCAAUUUGUGGAGAGGAAUGCAUAGU